Molecule: ribosomal RNA, 1242 nt
Filed under: Triticum aestivum (bread wheat)
Lineage: Eukaryota; Viridiplantae; Streptophyta; Magnoliopsida; Poales; Poaceae
Description: partial small subunit ribosomal RNA
Source: RNAcentral
AUGGGCGGUGGCGGCGCAGCCGGGGAUGGCGAUGGGUGGGCGGAUCAGGACCAGGGCAACGGCGGGAGCCGCGGCGGGGGUGAGGCCAAGCGGUCGGAGAUCUAUACCUACGAGGCCGGGUGGCACAUCUACGGUAUGAACUGGAGCGUGCGGCGGGACAAGAAGUACCGACUCGCCAUCGCAAGUCUUCUCGAGCAGCUCGUCAAUCGCGUGGAGGUGGUCCAGCUCGACGAGUCCACAGGUGACAUCGCCCCCGUGCUCUCCUUCGACCACCCUUUCCCUCCCACCAAGUCCAUGUUCGUUCCGGACCCCCAAGGCCUCCGCCCCGAUCUGCUUGCCACCUCUGCAGACCUCCUUCGCAUAUGGCGCAUCACGGACGACGACGCCGCUGCCCCGGGCGCCGCCGACUCCAACAAUGGUUCCGUCCGCUGCAACGGCGUGGGGGGCCCCGCUGGUCAGCAGCCGGGCGUCAAGCUGUGCUGCGAGCUCAACGGCAACCGCAACAGCGACUUCUGCGGCCCGCUCACCUCCUUUGACUGGAACGACGCCGACCCACGCCGCAUCGGAACAUCAUCCAUCGAUACCACUUGCACCAUCUGGGACGUUGAACGUGAGGUAGUCGACACCCAGCUCAUAGCCCAUGACAAGGAGGUCUAUGACAUAGCCUGGGGUGGCGCUGGUGUCUUUGCAUCUGUUUCUGCGGAUGGCUCGGUCCGCGUGUUUGAUCUUCGGGAUAAGGAGCAUUCCACAAUCAUCUAUGAGAGUAGUUCUGGCGGCGGCUCCAAUUCUGCUGCUACGGAUGGUGGGGCUGUGUCGCCGACACCAUUGGUUAGGCUGGGGUGGAACAAGCAGGACCCAAGGUAUAUGGCAACAAUCAUCAUGGAUAGCCCCAAGGUGGUCGUGCUUGACAUUCGCUACCCAACACUGCCUGUCGUUGAACUCCACCGCCAUCAUGCUCCUGUCAAUGCAAUGGCAUGGGCGCCUCACUCUUCUUGCCACAUUUGCACAGCUGGGGAUGACUCGCAAGCACUAAUAUGGGACCUCUCCUCCAUGGGCACGGGGAACAAUAGCGGAGGCAAUGGGAAUGGCAAUGCUGCAGCAGCUGCAGCAGCAGAGGGUGGUCUUGACCCUAUAUUGGCUUACACUGCAGGGGCGGAGGUGGAGCAGCUGCAGUGGUCAGCUACCCAGCCUGACUGGGUUGCCAUUGUGUUCGCCAAUAAACUGCAGAUUCUCAGGGUCUGA